AUGAGGAGAGAAUCCUAAGGCCAACGGGAGAAGGGUUGUUAAGGAACUCGGCAAGUUGACCCCGUAACUUAGGGAUAAGGGGUGCUCAAGUGAUUGAGCCGCAGAGAAUAGGCCCAGGCGACUGUUUAGCAAAAACACAGGUCUCUGCUAAAUCGAAAGAUGACGUAUAGGGGCUGACACCUGCCCGGUGCCGGAAGGUUAAGAGGAGAUGUGAGAGCAUUGAAUUGAAGCCCCGGUAAACGGCGGCCGUAACUAUAACGGUCCUAAGGUAGCGAAAUUCCUUGUCAGGUAAGUUCUGACCCGCACGAAAGGUGUAACGAUCUGGGCACUGUCUCAACAACCCGCCCGGCGAAAUUGUAGUACCGGUGAAGAUGCCGGUUACCCGCGACUAGACGGAAAGACCCCAUGGAGCUUUACUGUAGCCUAAUAUUGGAUUUCGGUAUUUCACGUACAGGAUAGGUGGGAGACUGGGAAGCACAGGCGUCAGCUUGUGUGGAGUCGACCUUGGGAUACCACUCUUGGAGUGCUGGAAUUCUAACCUGCGGCUUUGAAGCAAGUCGGGGGACAUUGUUAGGUGGGCAGUUUGACUGGGGCGGUCGCCUCCUAAAGAGUAACGGAGGCGCUCAAAGGUUCGCUCUGCAUGGAUGGAAACCAUGCGUCAGAGUGUAAACGCAAAAGCGAGCCUAACUGCGAGAAUGACGGUUCGAGCAGUAACGAAAGUUGGAGUUAGUGAUCCGGCGGUAUGUGAAUGGAAAUGCCGUCGCUCAACGGAUAAAAGCUACCCUGGGGAUAACAGGCUGAUCUCCCCCAAGAGUCCACAUCGACGGGGAGGUUUGGCACCUCGAUGUCGGCUCAUCGCAUCCUGGGGCUGAAUUCGGUCCCAAGGGUUUGGCUGUUCGCCAAUUAAAGCGGUACGCGAGCUGGGUUCAGAACGUCGUGAGACAGUUCGGUCCCUAUCUGUCGUGGGCGUAGGAUAUUUGCAAGGAGCUGUCCCUAGUACGAGAGGACCGGGAUGGACGCACCUCUGGUGCACCAGUUGUCACGCCAGUGGCACAGCUGGGCAGCUAUGUGCGGAACGGAUAAACGCUGAAGGCAUCUAAGCGUGAAGCCGCCCUUAAGAUAAGAUAUCCCUUCUGUUUACAGAGUAAGACCCCUUGAAGACUACAAGGUUGAUAGGCUCAAAGUGUAAGCACGGUGACGUGUUUAGCUAGCGAGUACUAAUCGGUCGAGUGCUUAACCU
Molecule: ribosomal RNA, 1240 nt
Filed under: human gut metagenome
Description: bacterial LSU rRNA
Rfam family: Bacterial large subunit ribosomal RNA
Source: RNAcentral